RNAcentral lists this ribosomal RNA (468 nucleotides) under uncultured bacterium. RNAcentral describes it as "partial 16S ribosomal RNA". It matches the Rfam family "Bacterial small subunit ribosomal RNA", at positions 28 to 507 of the family's 1533-position model. The record is from RNAcentral.
GACGAACGCUGGCGGCGUGCUUAACACAUGCAAGUCGAACGGAAAGGCCCUGCUUUUGUGGGGUUCUCGAGUGCCGAACGGGUGAGUAACACGUGAGUAACCUGCCCUUGACUUUGGGAGAACUUCAGGAAACUGGGGCUAAUACCGUAUAGGAUCUCCUGCUGCAUGGUGGGGGGUGGAAAGUCUCGGCGGUCGCGGCUGGACGCGCGGCUUAUCAGCUUGUUGGUUGGGGAGUUGCUUACCAAGGGUUUGACGGGUAGCCGGCCUGAGAGGGUGACCGGCCACAUUGGGACUGAGAUACGGCCCAGACUCCUACGGGAGGCAGCAGUGGGGAAUAUUGCACAAUGGGCGGAAGCCUGAUGCAGCAACGCCGCGUGCGGGAUGACGGCCUUCGGGGUGUAAACCGCUUUCGCCUGUGACGAAGCGUGAGUGACGGUAAUGGGUAAAGAAGCACCGGCUAACUACGUG